Molecule: ribosomal RNA, 845 nt
Filed under: uncultured Chloroflexota bacterium
Lineage: Bacteria; Bacillati; Chloroflexota
Description: bacterial SSU rRNA
Rfam family: Bacterial small subunit ribosomal RNA
Source: RNAcentral
GAUGAACGCUGGCGGCGUGCCUAAUGCAUGCAAGUCGAACGGUCCCCCGACUUGUCGGGGGGUAGUGGCGAACGGCUGAGUAAAGCAAAGGUAACCUACCCUUAAGUGGGGGAUAACCCCGAGAAAUCGGGGCUAAUACCGCAAUCAUCCUUCACCUAUGGUGAAGGAUGAAAGCCUUAGGGUGCUUAAGGAGGGGCCUUUGUCCUAUCAGGUAGUUGGUGGGGUAAGAGCCUACCAAGCUGAAGACGGGUAGCUGGUCUGAGAGGAUGGUCAGCCAGACGGGGAAUGAGAGACGGCCCCGACUCCUACGGGAGGCAGCAGCAGGGGAUAUUGCGCAAUGGGCGAAAGCCUGACGCAGCGACGCCGCGUGGGGGAAGAAGGCCUUCGGGUUGUAAACUCCUUUUCUUGGUGAAGAGGAAGGACGGUAGCCAAGGAAUAAGCCUCGGCUAACUACGUGCCAGCAGCCGCGGUAAUACGUAGGAGGCAAGCGUUAUCCGGAUUCACUGGGCGUAAAGGGCGUGUAGGCGGCCCCUUAAGUUGGCGGUGAAAUCUCCUGGCUCAACCGGGAGGGGUCUGCCAAAACUGGGGGGCUCGAGGGCAGCAGAGGAAGGUGGAAUUCCCGGUGUAGCGGUGAAAUGUGUAGAUAUCGGGAGGAACACCAGUGGCGAAGGCGGCCUUCUGGGCUGUUCCUGACGCUGAGGCGCGAAAGCGUGGGGAGCGAAGCGGAUUAGAUACCCGCGUAGUCCACGCCCUAAACGGUGGACACUAGGUAUAGGGGGUAUCGACCCCCUCUGUGCCGAAGCUAACGCCUUAAGUGUCCCGCCUGGGGACACGGCCGCAAGGCU